This 200-nucleotide ribosomal RNA is filed under the name uncultured bacterium. RNAcentral describes it as "partial 16S ribosomal RNA". It matches the Rfam family "Bacterial small subunit ribosomal RNA", at positions 328 to 539 of the family's 1533-position model. The record is from RNAcentral.
ACGCUCGACACCUACGGGAGCAGCAGUCGGGAAUAUUGCGCAAUGGAGGAAACUCUGACGCAGUGACGCCGCGUGCAGGAAGAAGGUUUUCGGAUUGUAAACUGCUUUAGACAGGGAAGAAAGAAAUGACAGUACCUGCAGAAUAAGCUCCGGCUAACUACGUGCCGGCAGCCGCGGUAAUCUGAGCGGGCUGGCAAGGC